Electrophorus electricus (electric eel) is the source of this 394-nucleotide long non-coding RNA. RefSeq lists it as uncharacterized. The record is from RefSeq and is a predicted model, not a curated record. NCBI's taxonomy places the organism in Eukaryota, Metazoa, Chordata, Actinopteri, Gymnotiformes, Gymnotidae.
CUUCUGUUUUAAAUCCUGUGAGGCUAUCAGUUUACUUUAUAGACACAGGCAUCACCAUGAAAACAGCAUUACUUCUUUGUGUCUUGUGUGCUUCUCUGGUAUUCUCAGAACAGAAAAAGAUACAACAAAAAUCUGUUGUACCUCCAGUACCCCAUGACAUUUAUAUGCCUUUAAAAAACACUGAUGCAGAAACAGCGCAGAACCUCCUUAAAAAUCCGACAUCUCAUGAGGAAGAAGUGAUCAAGAAACUUUUCGAAAAACAAGAAAUGCAAAGUGAGACACCCUAAAGGUCAAAACCCUGCUGUCGCAAGACUGCAGUGAAGCAGUGGGACUAAAUGAUCAACGCCUCCAAAGCUUGUAUCUUGUGACACAAAUGAAAUGUGGCAAAGCACAA